UUGCAUGGCGAUGUUUAAGGUUGUAAAUGUAAUUGUAUUACAAAGUAGAAAAGUUUUUAAUUGUGAUGUUUUUUUAUUCGUACUUAUUUUGGUGUCUAGACUUAAUCGUGUGCAUGGCAUUUCCUCUAUGCUGCAGAGUUCGCCUUUGGUCAGACAAAAAUGAUCAAUGAAUGUCAUGAUAAAGGUUUUCCUGAAGGCUUCCUGUUAAUCAAUUCGACCUUAACUUUCUCUGGGUUUGGGAAUGAUUGGAAUAAUUGUAGAGUGGUUGUGAAGGGAUUUCACGUGGCAAAGAAUGGGAUAUAAGUUAAGACUUAGAAUCGUGGAUGAUUUUCUCACCAUAGUGGGUUCAGGUACGAGAAGGUUGGGGUCAUUAAAUAAGGCCUUAUUAGGCAAAUAGAUUUAGAGAUCUGCAGUGGGAACCCAUUGUGGAGGAAGAUGGUUAGAAGGAAGUAUUGGAGGAAAAUGAGGUAAAGGUUAUUUGGUGAGUUUGCAGAAAGGCAUUGGAAAUGGUUGUAAAAAAAUUUGAUAAACCUACAACACACAUGAUUGGGGUGAUAAGAACAAGCUUAGAUUUCGGCCGGAUGUUUUGUACAGUGAUAGGAUCCUAAAUUGAAUCCUAUCCAUACCCAAUGAAAUUUGUCAUGAGAUGCAGAGUGGAGCCGGAGAGAGCUUUUCUUUGAAGGAAGCAUAAGAUAGUAGGGUGUCAAGUAAGGUAUCAAUUCUCAUGGGGAAAGCCCAUUCAAAUAGAGUUAUUGUUACUGAUAAUAAGGUGAACAGAGGAAAGACCCCUCCCAAAUUGCUUCUAUUAGAUGAUUAAAUAGGUGGAAAAAACAGUAGAUUAGUUGGUGAUGCAUUUUUUGGUGGCUGCAGGUUAAUGGCAAUCUAGGGUGUUGUGGAUGAGGAGUUGUUAUCAGGUUGUCACAGAAGAGUUGUUGCUCAGAGGCAAAGCACUACGUGGAUGGCAGUGAUUUUAAGCUUUUAGUCUAGAAUAGAUGGAGAAAAAAGAAAAAGAAGAAAUUCUUGAGGGAAAGAGGCUUCUAUAACAUGGCAUUCAUGUUUGGACACAUUCUCCAGGAGGGGGGCUACAACAUGGUCUUGCUCCUUCUAGAAGCUCAAUAGAUCUUGUUGCAAUUUUGGAGUUCCAGUGCUAAGGUAGCCUUUGGUGCAUCUAUUAGUGUUGGUCUCCUCAGUUCCAAAGCCUCAUACCGGAUAGAAGAGCCUCAUCGGCUCCCUAGUCAUUGGAAUACCUUAAAGAGGAGUUGUGGGUCUUAUCAAAUAGUUCAAAAAAUACUUGGCUAUGUGCUUCUCUUUCAUUUUGUCCAA
Vitis riparia (riverbank grape) is the source of this 1323-nucleotide long non-coding RNA. RefSeq lists it as uncharacterized. The record is from RefSeq and is a predicted model, not a curated record. Lineage: Eukaryota; Viridiplantae; Streptophyta; Magnoliopsida; Vitales; Vitaceae. The transcript is spliced from 3 exons.